RNAcentral lists this ribosomal RNA (806 nucleotides) under uncultured bacterium. Its description in RNAcentral is "bacterial SSU rRNA". It matches the Rfam family "Bacterial small subunit ribosomal RNA", at positions 8 to 796 of the family's 1533-position model. The record is from RNAcentral.
AGAGUUUGAUCAUGGCUCAGAGCGAACGUUAGCGGCACGCCUAACACAUGCAAGUCGAGCGUGAAAGGGGCAACCUGAGUAAAGCGGCGCACGGGUGCGUAACACGUAGAUAACCUGCCCUAUGCAGGGGGAUAACGUCCCGAAAGGGACGCUAAUACCGCAUACAGCUCUCUGGGAUUCGUCCUGGGGAGGCAAAGGUUGGGACCCGCAAGGGCCAAUCGGCAUAGGAGGGGUCUGCGGCCCAUCAGCUAGUUGGUGAGGUAAUGGCUCACCAAGGCAAAGACGGGUAGCUGGUCUGAGAGGAUGAUCAGCCACACUGGUACUGGAACACGGACCAGACUCCUACGGGAGGCAGCAGUGGGGAAUCUUGGUCAAUGGGCGCAAGCCUGAACCAGCGAUGCCGCGUGAGUGAUGAAGGCCUUCGGGUUGUAAAGCUCUGUGGGGAGGGACGAAAAAGCGAGGUCUAAUAGGCUUCGUGUUGACGGUACCUCCUUAGCAAGCACCGGCUAACUCUGUGCCAGCAGCCGCGGUAAGACAGAGGGUGCAAACGUUGCUCGGAAUCACUGGGCGUAAAGGGCGUGUAGGCGGGAAGUAAAGUCAGAUGUGAAAUCCCUGGGCUCAACCCAGGAACUGCAUUUGAAACUCACUUUCUUGAGUACCGGAGAGGAAGGUGGAAUACCUGGUGUAGAGGUGAAAUUCGUAGAUAUCAGGUGGAACACCAGUGGCGAAGGCGGCCUUCUGGACGGUAACUGACGCUGAGACGCGAAAGCGUGGGGAGCAAACAGGAUUAGAUACCCUAGUAGUCC